GUCCACGCCGUAAACGAUGAGUGCUAGGUGCUGCGGGUAUUGACCCCUGCGGUGCCGUAGCUAACGCGUUAAGCACUCCGCCUGGGGAGUACGGUCGCAAGACUAAAACUCAAAGGAAUUGACGGGGGCCCGCACAAGCGGUGGAGCAUGUGGUUCAAUUCGACGCAACGCGCAGAACCUUACCUGGGUUAAAUCCACUCGAACGGAGUAGAGAUAUUCUGGUGCCCUUCUGGGGAACGAGUGAGAAGGUGCUGCAUGGCUGUCGU
RNAcentral lists this ribosomal RNA (266 nucleotides) under uncultured bacterium. RNAcentral's name for it is "partial 16S ribosomal RNA". It matches the Rfam family "Bacterial small subunit ribosomal RNA", at positions 793 to 1055 of the family's 1533-position model. The record is from RNAcentral.